Molecule: ribosomal RNA, 253 nt
Filed under: uncultured bacterium
Lineage: Bacteria
Description: partial 16S ribosomal RNA
Rfam family: Bacterial small subunit ribosomal RNA
Source: RNAcentral
UACGAAGGGGGCUAGCGUUGCUCGGAAUCACUGGGCGUAAAGCGCACGUAGGCGGAUUGUUAAGUCAGGGGUGAAAUCCUGGAGCUCAACUCCAGAACUGCCUUUGAUACUGGCGAUCUCGAGUCCGGGAGAGGUGAGUGGAACUGCGAGUGUAGAGGUGAAAUUCGUAGAUAUUCGCAAGAACACCAGUGGCGAAGGCGACUUACUGGCCCGGUACUGACGCUGAGGUGCGAAAGCGUGGGGAGCAAACAGG